UUUUAAAUAUCAUGGGGUUGAAUUAAUAGUUAGCCUUGACAGAUAUCAGUAGCUCAUGCCAUUUCCAGCUAUACCCAAUGUUUGCAGGGUUUGCAGUGUAAAUGAGGGACUAAACACAUGACUCAGCUCCUGAAGGAUGGAUGUGUUAAAGAGACUGAAUGACAGAGCUGGCAGAAUAAGGAGAACAGCAAGUGUGGAAGAAAUCUGUUUCUAACCUGGCAUUUCAAUUAUCUUUACUUGGCAGAGCUCCUCCUAAGAGCACUGAAGGCUCAGGCCCCAGCCAACAAUUUCAUUUGGAUGUUAGGAAAUCUUAAUUAUCUAUCAAAGGCAAGUGACCAUCAGCACCAAGAGCUUGUUCUACAGCUGCCAUAUUCCCCAUCAUCUAUACAGAACACUUUUUUUCUCAUAGUGCUUAGCUGCUGAAUGACUUAUUCUGGAAGACAUCUUCCUAGUAACACGGCUUUGCUAAUUCAGAAAAAGUAUUCCAAUCCAAUCCAAUAAGACAUGUACAUUUAGUUAUUCUGGAGGAGCUCUGUUUCAUUUAAUUUAUACUCCCCCUCUAUGUGAGAGACUCCUGCCCUACCUUUGAAACCUUUAACAUUUAUUUUCUUUUUUGGUGUCCUUUGCGUCCCCUUUUAUACUGCCCGCUUGUAAGCUUUUUUACUUGUGUGUGUCUUGCUUAACUUUCCCAGCAGCAUAUCAAGUAGGAUGCACUUUAUAACUGAAAUGAGCUGUGAUGACAGCUCUGGUCUGUCUCUGUUUUGAUUUGAAAUGCUGUUACGUGAAAUGCUAAGAAGGUGUCUAGACAUGGUGCAGGGUAGGCACCACAUGCACACUGUUAGCAGACAAUAACUAAUUCUUCAGUGCCAGUUGCUUUCCUCCUCCAUGUUAGUUCAGAGGCAAAAAGGGUUGUGUGCCAGUCUUUCCACCUGCACAGGAUGGUUUUAUCCAUCUUUUUUUUUAACAAUAAGCAAAACUAAACAUAGGAAGUCUGUUUCUUAGAAAUUGAAAAGUCAUCUUACCAGUUUCAUUAAAAUGUGUCAUUUUUUGCCUCUGUGUCACAUAAGGGUCCAUUAAUUAUCCUGCUGUCUCUGAACAUGGCUGCAAAGAACAGGGUGACCACCUUUUUCAAUAAAAUUGCAGAUUUACAAUUUUCCAGCUCAGUGAAUUUCUAGUAUUUAAAUAUAUUGAAAGGCCAAUGCCAGGCUUCUCUGCCUUCCUGUGCAUUUUGCUGGGAAGGGGGUGCUAGAAGGGUGCAUGAGCAGAGAACGAAAAGGGGUAGAGGAGAAAAAACUGGGCAGACAGAUAUGAUGGCAUGAAAAUCGUGCAAAAUAGAAGGGAUUAGAGUGCCUGGAGAGACCUGAAGUUCAGAGGGGGCUCUUGGUGCCUCCUCAGCCCUCUCCUUGCUCCCAAGCAGGAGAGAUGAACAUUACUAGGACACCAGACAGGGCAAAGCUGAUCUCUUCUGAGAAAUGGUCCAUCACUGUGACUGUAAGAUGAGGUCCAAUCUGGUCUAAUUGCCUUCUGCCUCUUUGCGAGUUAACUUGCUGAGGGGAUAGCAGGAGAACAAGACACAAACUCUGCACUCAAAUCCAGGUAGGUUUGACACAGCCAUUCAGAAGUGUGGGAUGAUUCAUUCUUCCUGUCUGCUUUUCUGGGUUGGGAAGGGGAAAGAUGAGCCUACGCAGGAUUUUCCUGCUGUUGUCUGCAAUUGAAAAUUUGUUUUCUCCAUCUGCAAAACUGAACGUUCUUCUGGCAACAGAGAACUCGGGAAGAAGAAAAGUGGGGAAAAAAGUAAAAAGUGACUGAAGAAAGAAAAUUAAUUGUGAACUAAAUAAAAAAUAUCAGGAGGAAGAAGGAUGGGGGCUAAUGACAAAAGCAGAGCUGGGGUCUGCAUUUUUUGCCUGUAGCUUGUGAUCCUGACAUAUAACUAAACAACCUCUUGUGGCUGCCUUGCUUGAGUAUGACAGCCUUUCUUACAGACACAAAAUAAUCAAACAUCCAA
Long non-coding RNA from Pezoporus occidentalis (night parrot), 2005 nucleotides. RefSeq lists it as uncharacterized. The transcript is spliced from 2 exons. NCBI's taxonomy places the organism in Eukaryota, Metazoa, Chordata, Aves, Psittaciformes, Psittacidae. The record is from RefSeq and is a predicted model, not a curated record.